AUGUAAGGUCUUGCUGAUUUUAAUUAUAAGGGAAAAAAACAGAAGAGUUAGGUUCUGACAACUAUUAGUCAGAAUCGAUCACCCAGCUUUUUUGGUACUUCCCUAUCGUAGGUCCUCGAUACUGCAGAGCAGAGAAGAGCAUCACCUGUUCAAGAAGGAUGGAUCAUCAAGGGCAUAACCAGAACCCAUCCAUGGGGGUUGUCAGCAGUGGAGCUCAACUGCCUUAUGCUUCAAACCCAUACCAGCCGACCCAAAUAACUGCAACACCAGGAUCCACCGCUGCAUCAGUCGGGACCGUUCAAUACAGUGGUCAGCCUGCCGGAGCUCAACUGGGACAACACCAAAUUGCUUAUCAGCACAUUCACCAGCAACAGCAGCAGCAACUUCAGCAGCAACUCCAAACCUUUUGGACAAAUCAGUACCAAGAAAUUGAGAAGGCUACUGAUUUCAAGAAUCACAGCCUUCCCUUGGCCAGGAUCAAGAAGAUAAUGAAAGCUGAUGAGGAUGUUCGGAUGAUAUCAGCUGAGGCGCCAGUCAUAUUUGCAAGGGCAUGUGAGAUGUUUAUACUAGAGCUGACCUUGCGUUCUUGGAAUCACACUGAGGAGAACAAAAGGAGAACGCUUCAGAAGAACGAUAUUGCAGCAGCAAUCACAAGGACUGAUAUCUUUGAUUUCUUGGUUGACAUCGUGCCCCGUGAGGAUUUGAAAGAUGAAGUGCUUGCAUCAAUCCCUAGAGGGACAAUGCCGGUUGCAGGGCAUGCUGAUGCACUUCCGUAUUGUUAUAUGCCACCUCAGCAUGCACCGCAAGUAGGCACUGCUGGUGUCAUAAUGGGGAAGCCUGUGAUGGACCCCACCAUGUAUGCCCAACAGUCCCAUCCUUACAUGGCACACCAAAUGUGGCCACAGCCUCAAGAGCAACGACAAUCAACUCCAGAUAGUUAGAUGCUAGCUGUGGUAUGAUGCAAGUGUCAUGCAACUUCAGGUCAGCUUCAGGCUCUCCCUAGCGAUGAGCUUAGGAUGUCAAAUCGAGGGGGAGGUUGAGAAAGUCCUUGGCGUUCGGUAACUGUAGCUCAUUAGCUUACAAACGAAACAAUCCUUGGUUAUAUGUAGAUAAUGUGCUAGUGGAAUCUUACUUCAUUCUGAUAAAGUUGGUGUUUUAUUGUUGUUUAACUUGCGCUUCCUAAGACGGUGAUAGGUUUACUCACAGCUGUAUAGUAGACUACUAUCUUCUUGGAAUUUAGCUGCUUUUCAAUGGAACGUUAUAUGCAAUCUCAGGAUUCCGCUUUC
Molecule: RNA transcript, 1286 nt
Organism: Prosopis cineraria
Lineage: Eukaryota; Viridiplantae; Streptophyta; Magnoliopsida; Fabales; Fabaceae
Gene name: nuclear transcription factor Y subunit C-3-like
Exons: 4
Source: RefSeq, a predicted model, not a curated record